UCACUUAGGCAGUACAUACACUAAAAUUGGAACACUGUGAGGAUGAUGAACAUGGCCCCUGUACAAAGAGGACAUACAAAUUUUGAAAGUAUUCUUUAUUUUA
Myodes glareolus (Bank vole) is the source of this 103-nucleotide small nuclear RNA. The record is from RefSeq and is a predicted model, not a curated record. NCBI's taxonomy places the organism in Eukaryota, Metazoa, Chordata, Mammalia, Rodentia, Cricetidae.